GGGUACGCGACUGGCGAUAGGCGCGGCCGCCCCACCGGGUGGCUGCCGCUGACGUGGAAAACCAGCAGCGCAGCCACCGCUGUGGCCUGCCUGCUUAACCACUGGGAAGCGUACCGCCCGGGGCGACCGCUCCAGAGUGUUCGAGCCGUUCGCCUGGGCAGCCCU
This 165-nucleotide non-coding RNA is filed under the name uncultured Acidovorax sp. The record is from RNAcentral. Lineage: Bacteria; Pseudomonadati; Pseudomonadota; Betaproteobacteria; Burkholderiales; Comamonadaceae.